AGCCUAAACCGGGAGGACUUGUCUUCCCGGGGUUGAGGGACCUCGAUGUGCGAGUGCGAGAGUUAGCAGAAUCUUCUGGAAAGUUGAGCCAUAGACCGUGACAGCCGGGUAUGCGAAAACUCAAACACCGCUAGGGGUAUCCCAAGUAACACGGUGCACGUGAAACUCUGUGUGAAUCCGUCCAGACCACUGGAUAAGGCUAAAUACUCGUUGGCAACCGAUAGUGGACAAGUACCGCGAGGGAACGGUGAAAAGAACCCCUGUUAGGGGAGUGAAAUAGUACCUGAAACCAUAUGCCUACAAUGUGUAGGAGCCACCGCAAGGUGGUGACUGCUUGCCUUUUGCAUAAUGAGUCUGCGAGUUAUUGUCAGUGGCCAGCCUAAGCAGUUUUGCUGCGGAGGCGAAGGGAAACCGAGUGCCAAUAGCGCGACCAAGUCGCUGGCAAUAGACCCGAAGCGGAGGUGAUCUACUCUUGAGCAGGUUGAAGCCCAGGUAACACUGGGUGGAGGACCGAACUCGUGGAUGUUGAAAAAUCCUGAGAUGACUUGAGAGUAGGAGCGAAAGACUAAUCAAACCCCGUGAUAGCUGGUUCUCUCCGAAAUCGCUUGAGGGCGAGUGUUGUGGAAGUACCCAGCGGAGGUAGAGCACUGAAUGGCUUAGGGGCCCCACCAGGCUGCCAAAACCAAUCAAACUCCGAAUUCCGUUGGUCUCAGUAUCACAGCAAUCAGGCCGUAGGGGAUAAGCUUUACGGCCGAGAGGGCAACAGCCCAGACCAUCAGCUAAGGUGCCUAAAUGUGAUUAAGUGGAAAGGAUGUGACGUUGCUUAGACAGUGAGGAUGUUGGCUUAGAGGCAGCCAUCAUUUAAACAGUGCGUAAUAGCUGACUCAUCGAGCGAUGUCGCGCCGAAAAUGAUUGGCGAUUAAAUCACAUACCGAAGCUAUGGAUUCAUGACCGGUUCGCCGGACAUGAGUGGUAGGAGAGCGUAAUCAAUGCUGCGAAGUAGAACGGAAACGGACUAUGGAGCGUUGAUUAGUGAGAAUGCAGACACGAGUAGCGAUAAACCAGGUGAGAAUCCUGGUCGCCGUAAACCCAAGGUUUCCUGGGCCAGGUUCGUCCCCCCAGGGUUAGCCGGGAGCUAAGAUGAGGCCGUAAGGCGUAAUCGAUGCACAGCAGGUUAAAUAUUCCUGCGCCAGCUAGGUUAAGGUUGGAGAUGACGCAUGGGAAGACAUCAACUAGGCAAUCGAAUGCUGAGCUUAGGCUUCGGCCGAAGCGUAUUGGUGGGUUCCUGUGCCGAGAAAAGUUUCCAACUGUUCCCGACGCUGCCCGUACCGUAAACCGACACAGGUGGGUGAGUGUAAGCGCACUCAGGCGCGCGAGAGAGACCUCUCUAAGGAACUCGGCACAUUAGCCUCGUAACUUCGGGAGAAGAGGUGCCCUUCGCAAGAAGGGUCUCAGUAAAUUGCGUUUAGCGACUGUUUAACAAAAACACAGCACUCUGCAAAGUCGUGAAGACGACGUAUAGGGUGUGACACGUGACCAAUGCGGAAAGAUCAAGGCGUUUUGUUAGCCCGUAAGGGCAAAAGCUCGGCGCCUAAGUCCCCGUGAAUGUCGGCCGUAACUAUAACGGUCCUAAGGUAGCGAAAUUCCUUGUCGGGUAAGUUCCGACCUGCACGAAUCGUGUAACGACUGAACCGCUGUCUCGGAGAGGAUCUCGGCGAAAUUGUAACUGCGGUGAAGAUGCCGCAUGCCCGCAGUAGGACGGAAAGACCCUAUGCACCUUUACUGUAAGCUGAUAUUGGGUUCUGGUUAAUGAUGCGUAGCGUAGGUGGGAGGCUUCGAAGCGAGGGCUUCGGUUCUCGUGGAGCCGCAAUGUGAAACACCACUCUUUGUUAAUUAGGAUUCUAACCCCAACUCUGUAAGCCAGAUGGGGGACAGUGUCUGCGGGUCAGUUUGACUGGGGCGGUUUCCUCCCAAAUGGUAACGGAGGAGCGCGAAGCUUGGUUCAGUACGGUUGGCAACCGUACGUUGAGGGUAUGGCUAGAAGCCAGGCUAACUGUGAGACCUACAAGUCGAGCAGGUACGAAAGUAGGCCCAAAUGAUCCGACGGUUUAAUGUGGAAUUGCCGUCG
This 2128-nucleotide ribosomal RNA is filed under the name Ambispora leptoticha. RNAcentral's name for it is "bacterial LSU rRNA". It matches the Rfam family "Bacterial large subunit ribosomal RNA", at positions 266 to 2447 of the family's 2925-position model. Lineage: Eukaryota; Fungi; Glomeromycota; Glomeromycetes; Archaeosporales; Ambisporaceae. The record is from RNAcentral.